RNAcentral lists this ribosomal RNA (230 nucleotides) under uncultured bacterium. RNAcentral's name for it is "partial 16S ribosomal RNA". It matches the Rfam family "Bacterial small subunit ribosomal RNA", at positions 563 to 792 of the family's 1533-position model. The record is from RNAcentral.
AAGGGUCCGUAGGCGGUUUAAUAAGUCAGUGGUGAAAGCCCAUCGCUCAACGGUGGAACGGCCAUUGAUACUGUUAAACUUGAAUUAUUAGGAAGUAACUAGAAUAUGUAGUGUAGCGGUGAAAUGCUUAGAGAUUACAUGGAAUACCAAUUGCGAAGGCAGGUUACUACUAAUGGAUUGACGCUGAUGGACGAAAGCGUGGGUAGCGAACAGGAUUAGAUACCCGGGGU